ACAAGAUCCCGCAAGAGCCGCCGCCGAUGGCGCCUCGUGCCGGCGCACGUUAGGGAGAGGACGGGGCGGAGGCCGCCGCAUCGUAGCCAGGGAGGUGGAGGCCAGCGUNAAGGGCUCUUCGUCGGCAGGCGUCGGUGCUGGGAGAUCCGGGUAAGUGUCCCCUCCGUCGAUCUCUGAUUCUAGUGGUGGAUUGGCCGGGUUUGAAGGGCAUGGCCCGUAUCUGUGCACAGGACAGAAGAUCCCCCCUGUGUAUUCCAGUUGCCAAUCCAUGUGUGGAGCGACAAAGGCCGGCGGGGCGACGAAGUCCGGCAUUGGAGGUGCCUGGUAGGCAUGGUGGACGGCCGUGGGUGGGUGGCUUGGUCCUCCUGCUGCAGAUCCAUGGUGGUCGUGGUGACCACGACGCCCAUGGCGACCACGGCGACCACGGCGGCCGUUGCCAGAGCCCCAAUGGCGAUGAACUCCAAGAUCCUGGCUUCUUGCAGAUCGACGGAUUUCUCUUCUAAUGAAACGAACGAGGGCGGAGGCGAUUCUGUGCAGGUUCAUCCCUGCCAUCUCACCUUUUCUCUUCGUCUCCGGUGCUCUGUCGGUAGCCUACGUGCUGAUAACGUGUGAAGAAUGUAAUCAAAACUCUGUUUUCCAUUGAUGAAUGAACAUAUAUAUACAUGGGGAACAGUCGCUUCCAAAGGAUGCGACGGUACGAGGAGGCGGUUCCUGGAGGCGUCGCUCCAGGAACGAAGUGUUGGUUCGGUCGUGGAGAUGCCCAGGUGCAGUUACAAGUAGAGAUUAAGUUAACUAAUUACAUUAACUAAUUAAACUCUAAC
RNAcentral lists this long non-coding RNA (821 nucleotides) under Hordeum vulgare. RNAcentral describes it as "long non-coding RNA (HVUL_LNC002940)". The record is from RNAcentral. Lineage: Eukaryota; Viridiplantae; Streptophyta; Magnoliopsida; Poales; Poaceae.